RNAcentral lists this unclassified non-coding RNA (832 nucleotides) under Leishmania donovani. RNAcentral's name for it is "gene:unknown". Lineage: Eukaryota; Euglenozoa; Kinetoplastea; Trypanosomatida; Trypanosomatidae. The record is from RNAcentral.
GCGUCGAAGAAGGAGAGCGGGGCGGAUAGCGGGCGUGUGCCGUGUGCCUGCUUUCGGCUCCCGCUCUUCUUCAAAUGUGGUGUUGGCGGCUGGUGUUCCUCAUGUUAUUCCUCUCCACUCUUCACAGCUACUGCACAUGGUGAAGACUCUGCAGCAUCAUCGCGGACGUGCGCUUAAUGUCGAGAGGUCGAGAGAGAGCGUGAGAGUUGUAGGAGUUUGUUGUCUUUGUAUCCAUGCCUGCUCUCUUACAACAUAUUUUUCUCGGCUUCAGCGGUCGUUGAGAGUGCCGACGCUUGCCCGAACGAUGUGCGGGGGUACUCAUGGCAUGUAUCGCUGUCUGGGUAGGUGUAUGUGCCUACUCGGUUGUGGCCAGUGUAGGUGUCGCCCACUCGUCUCAUCUGCUGAUCUUUUUUUUUUGUUUCUUCGUUGUGCCCAUGGACGUUGCGUUCCUCUUCGUCUUUACUCUCCCCCGGGCCCAUUCCCUCGCUGCAUCUCUCUCUCCCCUUGCAUCGCGUGCUCCGCCCCCUUCCCCCAAAAGAAAAACGCAAGGCACAGACAGACGGACAAAGACACGAAAGAGAGGGGACGGCGUGCGCGUGUGUCCGUCACUUGCUACAAUGCCACAUCGCUACCAAGUGGGGGCGAGCGCAUCCGCGCGUGCGUAUCUCUCCAUCACUUUCUCUCUCACUUGCGUUUCGCCUCGUGACGGCAGCUGACAUGUGCGAGCGCCUCUUCCCUUUUGCGUUUUUCUCAUGUUACUUCCUCUUCGAGCCCAACCCCCUUUUUUCCCACCUGCGCUAACUCACAUAACACACCCACACACACGUAAAAG